This 494-nucleotide ribosomal RNA is filed under the name uncultured bacterium. Its description in RNAcentral is "partial 16S ribosomal RNA". It matches the Rfam family "Bacterial small subunit ribosomal RNA", at positions 28 to 507 of the family's 1533-position model. The record is from RNAcentral.
GACGAACGCUGGCGGCGUGCUUAACACAUGCAAGUCGAACGGUGAAGCGCCUUACUUUUUGUUGGGUGUGGAUGAGUGGCGAACGGGUGAGUAACACGUGAGUAACCUGCCGCCCUCUUCUGGAUAACCGCAUGAAAGAGUGGCUAAUACGGGAUAUUCUGGGUCUGUUGCAUCCUGGGUCUGGGACAGGUCUUGUUUCGGUGGGGGAUGGGCUCGCGGUUUCUAAGCUUGUUGGGGGGGUGAUGGCCUACCAAGGCGGUGACGGGUAGACGGCCUGGGAGGGUGGAAGGUCACAAGGGGACUGAGACACGGCCCAGACUACUAAGAGAGGCAGCAGAGGGGAAUAGUGGACAAUGGGGGGAAGCCUGAUGCAGCGACGCCGCGGGAGAGAUGGAGACCUUCGGGUGGUGAAGCUCUUUCGCGAGUGAAGCAGGCCUGCCUCGUGUGUGGGUGGGUUGACGGUAGCUGGAGAAGAAGCGCCGGCUAACUACGUG